UCGCGGCUUAUCACCGGCAGUCCCCUUAGAGUGCCCAACCAAAUGAUGGCAACUAAGGGCGAGGGUUGCACUCGUUGCGGGACUUAACCCAACAUCUCACGACACGAGCUGACGACAGCCAUGCAGCACCUGUCUCCGCGCCCCUUGCGGGGACCGCCCAUCUCUGAGCGUGGCACGGGAUGUCAAACCCUGGUAAGGUUCUGCGCGUUGCGUCGAAUUAAACCACAUGCUCCACCGCUUGUGCGGGCCCCCGUCAAUUCCUUUGAGUUUCAACCUUGCGGCCGUGCUCCCCAGGCGGGGCGCUUAAUGCGUUAGCUGCGGCACGGAAGGAGUCGAUGACCUCCCACACCUAGCGCCCAUCGUUUACGGCGUGGACUAC
Molecule: unclassified non-coding RNA, 379 nt
Filed under: uncultured Alphaproteobacteria bacterium
Lineage: Bacteria; Pseudomonadati; Pseudomonadota; Alphaproteobacteria
Description: contains 16S-23S intergenic spacer region
Source: RNAcentral